Molecule: ribosomal RNA, 719 nt
Filed under: uncultured fungus
Lineage: Eukaryota; Fungi
Description: eukaryotic LSU rRNA
Rfam family: Eukaryotic large subunit ribosomal RNA
Source: RNAcentral
AAAAUCGGUAGUAAUGUGGGAAAUUGAAAUUGUAGGGGCCGCCAAUUCUCCCCUUACCCGCUUGAACUUAAGCAUAUCAAUAAGCUGCAGGAAAAGAAACUAACAAGGAUUCCCUUAGUACCUGCGAGUGAAGUGGGAAAAGCUCAAAUUUAGAAUCUGGCAGUCACUUGGCUGUCCGAGUUGUAAUCUAGAGAAGUGUUGCCCGUGCUGGACCAUGUACAAGUCUCCUGGAAUGGAGCAUCACAGAGGGUGAGAAUCCUGUCUUUGACAUGGACUGCCAGUGCUUUUGUGGUAUGCUCUCAAAGAGUCGAGUUGUUUGGGAAUGCAGCUCAUAAUGGGUGGUAAAUGCCAUCUAAAGCUAAAUAUUGGCGAGAGACCGAUAGUGAACAAGUACCGUGAGGGAAAGAUGAAAAGAACUUUGGAAAGAGAGUUAAACAGUACGUGAAAUUGCUGAAAGGGAAACGCUUGAAGUCAGUCACGUUGACUUGGAAUCAGCUCUGCUUUUGCUGGGUGUACUUUCUUGUCAAUGGGUCAGCAUCAAUUUUGACCAUUGGAUAAAGUUGCUGGGAAUGUAGCAUCCUUUGGGAUGUGUUAUAGCCUGUGUGAUGCAUCCAGUGGUUGGGAUUGAGGAAUUCAGCACGCCACCAGGCCGGGUUUUGACCACGUUCGUGCUUAGGAUGCUGGCAUAAUGGCUUUAAUUGACCCGUCUUGAAACACGG